CUUAUACAUGCAAGUCGAGGGGCAGCAUGGUGUAGCAAUACACUGAUGGCGACCGGCAAACGGGUGCGGAACACGUACAGAACCUUCCUUCGAGCGGGGAAUAGCCCAGAGAAAUUUGGAUUAAUACCCCAUAGUAUAACAGAGAGGCAUCUCUUUGUUAUUAAAGAUUUAUCACUUGAAGAUGGCUGUGCGGCUGAUUAGGUAGUUGGCGGGGUAACGGCCCACCAAGCCUACGAUCAGUAACUGGUGUGAGAGCACGACCAGUCACACGGGCACUGAGACACGGGCCCGACUCCUACGGGAGGCAGCAGUAAGGAAUAUUGGUCAAUGGACGAAAGUCUGAACCAGCCAUGCCGCGUGAAGGAUGAAGGUCCUCUGGAUUGUAAACUUCUUUUAUAUGGGACGAAAAUGGGCCUUUCUAGGUCAACUGACGGUACCAUAAGAAUAAGCACCGGCUAACUCCGUGCCAGCAGCCGCGGUAAUACGGAGGGUGCAAGCGUUAUCCGGAUUCACUGGGUUUAAAGGGGGCGUAGGUGGGUUGGUAAGUCAGUGGUGAAAUCCCCGAGCUUAACUCGGGAACUGCCAUUGAUACUAUCAGUCUUGAAUAUCGUGGAGGUCAGCGGAAUAUGUCAUGUAGCGGUGAAAUGCUUAGAUAUGACAUAGAACACCAAUUGCGAAGGCAGCUGGCUACCCGAAUAUUGACACUGAGGCACGAAAGCGUGGGGAUCAAACAGGAUUAGAUACCCUGGUAGUCCACGCCCUAAACUAUGGAUACUCGACAUAUGCGAUAAACUGUAUGUGUCUGAGCGAAAGCAUUAAGUAUCCCACCUGGGAAGUACGACCGCAAGGUUGAAACUCAAAGGAAUUGGCGG
This 872-nucleotide ribosomal RNA is filed under the name uncultured bacterium. Its description in RNAcentral is "bacterial SSU rRNA". It matches the Rfam family "Bacterial small subunit ribosomal RNA", at positions 48 to 916 of the family's 1533-position model. The record is from RNAcentral.